AGAAAAGAAACUAUGGGUAUACUGCUAAUACUACUUAUAUGAAAGGAGAAACUUGUACCGGUUUACCAAACUACCGACAAGCCUAUCCAGAAAGCGAGACAAUGCUCCACUACCUACUAACAUUCUAUCCUAACUCUCCUAUCUAAGGUCUUGUCCUCGACAAGCUGAAGUUGCACAUGAUUUGUUAAAAUAUUAUGAAUAUUU
RNAcentral lists this unclassified non-coding RNA (204 nucleotides) under Hevea brasiliensis (rubber tree). The record is from RNAcentral. Lineage: Eukaryota; Viridiplantae; Streptophyta; Magnoliopsida; Malpighiales; Euphorbiaceae.